This 417-nucleotide ribosomal RNA is filed under the name uncultured bacterium. RNAcentral's name for it is "bacterial SSU rRNA". It matches the Rfam family "Bacterial small subunit ribosomal RNA", at positions 30 to 446 of the family's 1533-position model. The record is from RNAcentral.
AUUGAACGCUGGCGGCAUGCCUUACACAUGCAAGUCGAACGGCAGCACGGGAGCUUGCUCCUGGUGGCGAGUGGCGAACGGGUGAGUAAUACAUCGGAACGUACCCUGAAGUGGGGGAUAACGUAGCGAAAGUUACGCUAAUACCGCAUAUUCUGUGAGCAGGAAAGAGGGGGAUCGCAAGACCUCUUGCUUUAGGAGCGGCCGAUGUCGGAUUAGCUAGUUGGUGAGGUAAAGGCUCACCAAGGCGACGAUCCGUAGCGGGUCUGAGAGGAUGAUCCGCCACACUGGGACUGAGACACGGCCCAGACUCCUACGGGAGGCAGCAGUGGGGAAUUUUGGACAAUGGGCGCAAGCCUGAUCCAGCCAUGCCGCGUGAGUGAAGAAGGCCUUCGGUUGUAAAGCUCUUCGUGGGAGAAU